Non-coding RNA from Oryza glaberrima (African rice), 209 nucleotides. Lineage: Eukaryota; Viridiplantae; Streptophyta; Magnoliopsida; Poales; Poaceae. The record is from Rfam.
AAUAAGUGUAGUUUUACACUAUUCAUCCUCAACGUUCGACUGUUCGUCUUAUUUGAAAAAUUUUUAUAAUUACUAUUUUUAUUAUUAUUAGAUGAUAAAAAUAUGAAUAAUACUUUAUGUAUGACUAAUUUUUUUAAAAUUUUUCAUAAAUUUUUUAAAUAAAACGAAUGGUUAAACAUUGAACACGGAUUUCCACAGCUGCAUUUAUU